GACGAACGCUGGCGGCGUGCUUAACACAUGCAAGUCGAACGGAAAGGCCCUGCUUUUGUGGGGUGCUCGAGUGGCGAACGGGUGCGUAACACGUGAGUAACCUGCCCUUGACUUUGGGAUAACUUCAGGAAACUGGGGCUAAUACCGGAUAGGAGCUCCUGCUGCAUGGUGGGGGUUGGAAAGUUUCGGCGGUUGGGGAUGGACUCGCGGCUUAUCAGCUUGUUGGUGGGGUAGUGGCUUACCAAGGCUUUGACGGGUAGCCGGCCUGAGAGGGUGACCGGCCACAAUGGGACUGAGAUACGGACCAGACGCCUAAGGGAGGCAGCAGGGGGGAAUAUUGCACAAUGGGCGGAAGCCUGAUGCAGCAACGCCGGGUGCGGGAUGACGGCCUUCGGGUUGUAAACCGCUUUAGCCUGUGACGAAGCGUGAGUGACGGUAAUGGGUAAAGAAGCACCGGCUAACUACGUG
Molecule: ribosomal RNA, 468 nt
Filed under: uncultured bacterium
Lineage: Bacteria
Description: partial 16S ribosomal RNA
Rfam family: Bacterial small subunit ribosomal RNA
Source: RNAcentral